Molecule: non-coding RNA, 74 nt
Organism: Potamilus streckersoni
Lineage: Eukaryota; Metazoa; Mollusca; Bivalvia; Unionida; Unionidae
Source: the annotation of a GenBank genome assembly
AGCUCCGGUGGCUUAGUGGCUAGAGUGUCAGCGUCGGAUGCGUGGGGUCGUGGGUUCGAUCCCCGGUCGAGUCA